GAUGAACGCUGGCGGCGUGCUUAACACAUGCAAGUCGAACGGAAAGGCUCCUGCUUGCAGGGGUACUCGAGUGGCGAACGGGUGAGUAACACGUGGGUGAUCUGCCCUGCACUUCGGGAUAAGCCUGGGAAACUGGGUCUAAUACCGGAUAGGACGAUGGUUUGGAUGCCAUUGUGGAAAGUUUUUCGGUGUGGGAUGAGCUCGCGGCCUAUCAGCUUGUUGGUGGGGUAAUGGCCUACCAAGGCGUCGACGGGUAGCCGGCCUGAGAGGGUGUACGGCCACAUUGGGACUGAGAUACGGCCCAGACUCCUACGGGAGGCAGCAGUGGGGAAUAUUGCACAAUGGGCGCAAGCCUGAUGCAGCGACGCCGCGUGGGGGAUGACGGCCUUCGGGUUGUAAACUCCUUUCGCUAGGGACGAAGCGCAAGUGACGGUACCCGGAGAAGAAGCACCGGCUAACUACGUG
This 465-nucleotide ribosomal RNA is filed under the name uncultured bacterium. Its description in RNAcentral is "partial 16S ribosomal RNA". It matches the Rfam family "Bacterial small subunit ribosomal RNA", at positions 28 to 507 of the family's 1533-position model. The record is from RNAcentral.